Non-coding RNA from Acanthosepion pharaonis, 115 nucleotides. The record is from the annotation of a GenBank genome assembly. Lineage: Eukaryota; Metazoa; Mollusca; Cephalopoda; Sepiida; Sepiidae.
UACGGCAAUAUCACGUUGGGACCCCCCGUUUCUCGUACGGUCAACGAAGUUAAGCAACGUCGAGCCUGGUUAGUAUCUAGAUGGGUGACCGGUUUGGAAUUCUAAGUGCUGUAAG